UCUGGCUUCCUGUCUCCUGCGGUGGUUGCUUCUGUACCUAUUCCCAGCAUGCCGAAGCUGCCUUAGUUACUGUUCUACCGCUGUGAGGAGACACCACCACCACGGCAACUCAAAGAAGAAAGAGUUUAUUUGAGGCUUACAGUUUUAGACAGUGAGUCCGUGGAGUCUAUGACCCUCACGCAGGGAGCAUGGUGGCAGGCUGGCAGAUGUGGCAGUGAAGCACCCCUGAGACCUUGAGGGGCUUUACAUCUAGAGACACACUGUGGUCAUUUGAAUGAAGCUGGCCCCCAAAAGCUCAUGAGGAAUGGCACUAUUAGGAGGUGUGGCCUUGUUGGAGGAAGUGUGUCACUUUGCGGUUGGGCUUUGAGGUCUCAUGUAUGCUCAAGCCACACCCAGUGUCUCAGAUCAUUUCCUGUUGCCUGCAGGCCAAGGACUCUCAGCUCCUUUUCUAGCACUAUGUCCGUCUGCAUGUCACCAUGUUGCACCAUGAAGAUAAUGGACUAAACCUCUGAAAAUGAAUGUGGGUAAAUUACUAUCAGUACGGUGAAGAGCUUUUGUGCAAGCUGUGCUGACCUUCAGGCCGCUCCUGAGCGUGUUGGAUCCUGUCUUAAGUUUGAGGAAGCCUGAGUGAGCACAGGUCCAGCCUUCAGUUUGUCCACUCCUCUCCAGUGGAUGCCCAGGGUUCCUGCUUUGCUGCAUAUGGCAUUUUCCAGUGAAUUUGGGGGCUCUUGAUAAUGCCAGAAACACAAAGUUCUUGUUUUAAAAUAAUACUGUGUAAAUACGUCAAAUGUUAA
This is a long non-coding RNA of Peromyscus eremicus (cactus mouse), 794 nucleotides long. RefSeq lists it as uncharacterized. Lineage: Eukaryota; Metazoa; Chordata; Mammalia; Rodentia; Cricetidae. The transcript is spliced from 2 exons. The record is from RefSeq and is a predicted model, not a curated record.